AGCACCAUGGCAGCCAUUGUCGCCGGCCAGGUUCCCCUCCCGGCGGCGGCUCUGCCACCUGCCUCCUCCCUGGCCUCCGUCGUUUUUGAGCGCGUACGCAAGCCGAGGCGGCUCCGGCGAACCGAGCGCAGCCGCCCCAUUCCACGCGGGUCGGUCCGGCGGCUCAGCCCUGCAGUGCCUCGCUCACCACGUUGGUUUUCGGCUGUUCCGCCCCUCGAUGCCAUGUAAAAAUCCCUUUUCUUCAGCACAAGUCUCUCCGGAUUUGUCUGAAUUGCAAUCGACCCUAAGCAUUACCCGCCCAUCCCCGGGAGCUAGCCGGAUUGAGUUCAAGGCAUUUUAAUCUGACGAGUUUUGCUCUGAAGACUGGAGCAGGCAUCUCAACUGCAACAGAUUGCCAAACUGGAAGUAGCCAAAACUAGGUAGGUAGUAUCUCAUUACUGUGGUUCACUUUUUACAAACUGCCCGGUUACAGAAUUUCAGCCAACCAAACAAACUUGAUUAAGACAAAAAACCUGGUAUGCUUAUAGUAUGAUCUGAACCUGUA
Triticum urartu is the source of this 544-nucleotide non-coding RNA. Lineage: Eukaryota; Viridiplantae; Streptophyta; Magnoliopsida; Poales; Poaceae. The record is from RefSeq and is a predicted model, not a curated record.